This 568-nucleotide ribosomal RNA is filed under the name uncultured bacterium. RNAcentral describes it as "bacterial SSU rRNA". It matches the Rfam family "Bacterial small subunit ribosomal RNA", at positions 56 to 668 of the family's 1533-position model. The record is from RNAcentral.
UGCANGUCGAACGCUCGUAGCAAUACGGGAGUGGCAGACGGGUGAGUAACGCGUGGGAACAUACCCUCCGGUUCGGAAUAGCUCAGGGAAACUUGGAUUAAUACCGGAUACGGCUGAGAGGCGAAAGAUUUAUCGCCGGAGGAUUGGCCCGCGUUCGAUUAGCUAGUUGGUGAGGUAACGGCUCACCAAGGCGAUGAUCGAUAGCUGGUCUGAGAGGAUGAUCAGCCACAUUGGGACUGAGACACGGCCCAAACUCCUACGGGAGGCAGCAGUGGGGAAUAUUGGACAAUGGGCGCAAGCCUGAUCCAGCCAUGCCGCGUGAGUGAUGAAGGCCUUAGGGUUGUAAAGCUCUUUCGCUCGGGACGAUAAUGACGGUACCGAGAUAAGAAGCCCCGGCUAACUUCGUGCCAGCAGCCGCGGUAAUACGAAGGGGGCUAGCGUUGUUCGGAAUUACUGGGCGUAAAGCGCGUGUAGGCGGGUCUUUAAGUCAGGGGUGAAAUGCCAAGGCUCAACCUUGGAACUGCCUUUGAUACUGGAGAUCUUGAGUCCGGGAGAGGUGAGUGGAAUU